Salvelinus namaycush (lake trout) is the source of this 294-nucleotide long non-coding RNA. RefSeq lists it as uncharacterized. The record is from RefSeq and is a predicted model, not a curated record. Lineage: Eukaryota; Metazoa; Chordata; Actinopteri; Salmoniformes; Salmonidae. The transcript is spliced from 3 exons.
AUGGAGCAACUGCGAAAAGAAAUGGCUGAGGAUAUACUAAAAAUGUCUGAGUUCAACAAAGCCAACAACUGCUUCAUGUGUGCCACUGAUAAAGAACCUGGAUGUGGCCCAAAGACUGACUGGAUUGAAUGUUUUGCAUGCCAACGGUGGUUCCAUGUGCUGUGCCUAGGAAUGAAGACAAAAGAGUUCAACAGAGUAAAGAACACAAACUGGAAGUGCAGUCUUUGUUGUUGAAAAUGUAUGCUAUACCCCAUCCACACUGAAGAGGCUCUAAAAUGUACAUCAACCAGGGAU